UUGCUCGCUUGGGCAGCACAUUUACUAAAAUUGGAACAAUACAGAGGAGAUUAGCAUGGCCUCUGAGCAAGGAUGACAAGCAAAUUCGUGAAGCAUUUCAUUUUUUA
This 107-nucleotide small nuclear RNA is filed under the name Castor canadensis (American beaver). Lineage: Eukaryota; Metazoa; Chordata; Mammalia; Rodentia; Castoridae. The record is from RNAcentral.